GUACACUCCUGCGGGAGGCAGCAGUGGGGAAUUUUGGACAAUGGGCGAAAGCCUGAUCCAGCAAUGCCGCGUGAGUGAAGAAGGCCUUCGGGUUGUAAAGCUCUUUUGUCAGGGAAGAAACGGUGAAAGCUAAUAUCUUUUGCUAAUGACGGUACCUGAAGAAUAAGCACCGGCUAACUACGUGCCAGCAGCCGCGGUAAUACGUAGGGUGCAAGCGUUAAUCGGAAUUACUGGGCGUAAAGCGUGCGCAGGCGGUUUUGUAAGUCUGAUGUGAAAUCCCCGGGCUCAACCUGGGAAUUGCAUUGGAGACUGCAAGGCUAGAAUCUGGCAGAGGGGGGUAGAAUUCCACGUGUAGCAGUGAAAUGCGUAGAUAUGUGGAGGAACACCGAUGGCGAAGGCAGCCCCCUGGGUCAAGAUUGACGCUCAUGCACGAAAGCGUGGGGAGCAAACAGGAUUAGAAACCCCAGUAGUCCCAUGA
Molecule: ribosomal RNA, 478 nt
Filed under: uncultured organism
Description: partial 16S ribosomal RNA
Rfam family: Bacterial small subunit ribosomal RNA
Source: RNAcentral